This 264-nucleotide long non-coding RNA is filed under the name Cicer arietinum (chickpea). Its description in RNAcentral is "long non-coding RNA (CARI_LNC001133)". Lineage: Eukaryota; Viridiplantae; Streptophyta; Magnoliopsida; Fabales; Fabaceae. The record is from RNAcentral.
GUCAUUCAAUGAUCACAUCACUUAAUCUAGCUGCACUGUAAACUUCUCUGCUAACAUUGAUUGUACUAGUGAUUUAUAAGAUUUGGAUAGUGAAGCCUACAAAGUAAUAUGUUCUCUUCGUCUUUUAUAUUUGUUUUUGAGGCAAACUUGUAUUCCAACAAAUCCCACAAUUUCGUUGAAGAAGUUUAUUUCAACACAAUAAUUUUAAGUUAUAGAGCAAAUGUCAAUCUAAGUGUACUCACUACCUUUUUUUUUUUUUUUUUU